GACGAACCGAGCGAACGUUGUUCGGAAUAACUGGGCUUAAAGGGCGCGUAGGCGGGCUGUCAAGUUUGGGGUGAAAUGCCACGGCUCAACCGUGGAACUGCCUCAAAUACUGACGGUCUCGAGGGGAGGUAGGGGCGAGCGGAACGGAUGGUGGAGCGGUGAAAUGCGUUGAUAUCAUCCGGAAACUCCGGUGGCGAAGGGCGGCU
Molecule: ribosomal RNA, 206 nt
Filed under: uncultured bacterium
Lineage: Bacteria
Description: partial 16S ribosomal RNA
Rfam family: Bacterial small subunit ribosomal RNA
Source: RNAcentral